UACGUAGGUGGCAAGCGUUGUUCGGAAUCACUGGGCGUAAAGCGCACGUAGGCGGAUGUGCCAGUCAGGGGUGAAAUCCCGGAGCUCAACUUCGGAACUGCCUCUGAUACAGCACGUCUUGAGUCCGGAAGAGGUGGGUGGAAUUCCUAGUGUAGAGGUGAAAUUCGUAGAUAUUAGGAAGAACACCGGUGGCGAAGGCGGCCCACUGGUCCGGUACUGACGCUGAGGUGCGAAAGCGUGGGGAGCAAACAGG
Molecule: ribosomal RNA, 253 nt
Filed under: uncultured bacterium
Lineage: Bacteria
Description: partial 16S ribosomal RNA
Rfam family: Bacterial small subunit ribosomal RNA
Source: RNAcentral